RNAcentral lists this ribosomal RNA (987 nucleotides) under Streptomyces sp. DR-BS36. RNAcentral describes it as "bacterial SSU rRNA". It matches the Rfam family "Bacterial small subunit ribosomal RNA", at positions 440 to 1430 of the family's 1533-position model. Lineage: Bacteria; Bacillati; Actinomycetota; Actinomycetes; Kitasatosporales; Streptomycetaceae. The record is from RNAcentral.
CAGGGAAGAAGCGAAAGUGACGGUACCUGCAGAAGAAGCGCCGGCUAACUACGUGCCAGCAGCCGCGGUAAUACGUAGGGCGCGAGCGUUGUCGGGAAUUAUUGGGCGUAAAGAGCUCGUAGGCGGCUUGUCACGUCGGUUGUGAAAGCCCGGGGCUUAACCCCGGGUCUGCAGUCGAUACGGGCAGGCUAGAGUUCGGUAGGGGAGAUCGGAAUUCCUGGUGUAGCGGUGAAAUGCGCAGAUAUCAGGAGGAACACCGGUGGCGAAGGCGGAUCUCUGGGCCGAUACUGACGCUGAGGAGCGAAAGCGUGGGGAGCGAACAGGAUUAGAUACCCUGGUAGUCCACGCCGUAAACGGUGGGCACUAGGUGUGGGCAACAUUCCACGUUGUCCGUGCCGCAGCUAACGCAUUAAGUGCCCCGCCUGGGGAGUACGGCCGCAAGGCUAAAACUCAAAGGAAUUGACGGGGGCCCGCACAAGCGGCGGAGCAUGUGGCUUAAUUCGACGCAACGCGAAGAACCUUACCAAGGCUUGACAUACACCGGAAAACCCUGGAGACAGGGUCCCCCUUGUGGUCGGUGUACAGGUGGUGCAUGGGCUGUCGUCAGCCUCGUGUCGUGAGAUGUUGGGUUAAGUCCCGCAACGAGCGCAACCCUUGUCCCGUGUUGCCAGCAGGCCCUUGUGGUGCUGGGGACUCACGGGAGACCGCCGGGGUCAACUCGGAGGAAGGUGGGGACGACGUCAAGUCAUCAUGCCCCUUAUGUCUUGGGCUGCACACGUGCUACAAUGGCCGGUACAAUGAGCUGCGAUACCGCGAGGUGGAGCGAAUCUCAAAAAGCCGGUCUCAGUUCGGAUUGGGGUCUGCAACUCGACCCCAUGAAGUCGGAGUCGCUAGUAAUCGCAGAUCAGCAUUGCUGCGGUGAAUACGUUCCCGGGCCUUGUACACACCGCCCGUCACGUCACGAAAGUCGGUAACACCCGAAGCCGG